AACGAACGCUGGCGGCAUGCCUAACACAUGCAAGUCGAACGAGACCUUCGGGUCUAGUGGCGCACGGGUGCGUAACGCGUGGGAUCCUGCCCUUAGGUUCGGAAUAACUCCCCGAAAGGGGUGCUAAUACCGGAUAAUGUCUUCGGACCAAAGAUUUAUCGCCUUUGGAUGGGCCCGCGUUGGAUUAGCUAGUUGGUAGGGUAAAAGCCUACCAAGGCGACGAUCCAUAGCUGGUCUGAGAGGAUGAUCAGCCACACUGGGACUGAGACACGGCACAGACUCCUACGGGAGGCAGCAGUGGGGAAUAUUGGACAAUGGGCGAAAGCCUGAUCCAGCAAUGCCGCGUGAGUGAUGAAGGCCUUAGGGUUGUAAAGCUCUUUUACCCGGGAUGAUAAUGACAGUACCGGGAGAAUAAGCUCCGGCUAACUCCGUG
RNAcentral lists this ribosomal RNA (433 nucleotides) under uncultured bacterium. RNAcentral's name for it is "partial 16S ribosomal RNA". It matches the Rfam family "Bacterial small subunit ribosomal RNA", at positions 29 to 507 of the family's 1533-position model. The record is from RNAcentral.